This 749-nucleotide long non-coding RNA is filed under the name Capra hircus (goat). RNAcentral describes it as "lncRNA (ENSCHIG00000004689.1)". Lineage: Eukaryota; Metazoa; Chordata; Mammalia; Artiodactyla; Bovidae. The record is from RNAcentral.
CUCCAUCAACGUGCCAUGUGGUCCCUGCUUGGAGAUUUCCUGAUCUGGUACCAUAGGGUGGCCUGGGGACUCCGAAGGAUAACACUCUUAUAGGAUAUACACCAUUUCCAGCUGAGCUCCGCGCUGAUGGGCUGUUUAUCUUCGCCACCACAACAGCGGCAGCCUCAGCAGCUGAGGAAGCGGCGAGCCGUUUUCUGCCUCGGCUCCUGCCGAGAGGGCAGAAUUAAGACAAACACUUUCAUUCUUGGCUGCCAAAGCGUUUUAGCUUCUGAAAAGCAAGGCAGGCUCACUAAUGCAGCUGGAAUGAAUUUGUUCGCUUGCAAAAAAUCAAUGUUUCUUCCAAAUACAUGGCGUUGGGAUGCUGAUGAGAGAGAGCCUGAAUGGACAGCAAAGGGACUCAGCCAUGCAUAUACUCAAGGGACUUUAAAAACACUGAAACUGGAGCUUCAUCAGCUUGUUUUCCUUUCCCUUAGAGUUUUUUCCCCCAAUAACAACCUAUUCCUACACUUCAAAGUAAGGACACUGGAUAAAGAGGAAAAGUUGGAAGAGGACACCUGCAAACCUCAGACCAAUCUAAACAGAGUCACAGUAGUUGGUCAGGAUCUUAGGGAGACUGUAUGAACAGGAGAUGUUAGCUGAUAAGAAAAAGGACUUCAUCCUCAAAUGUCUUCUUCACCUUACUCUUGUUCAGUCUCCAUUUCUCAUUUUUGUUCAUGGCAGGAGGUAUGUGUAUCUUAUAUUAAAGAAAC